GUUUUGUAAAACAAUCAACACGUAAAUUAACAAACGAAGAGAAAUUUAAUUUGAUAAGAAAUCAUUUCCAACCUGGAAUAAACUAUAACUUUCCUAUAAAAAAUAUGCAGGAAAGAACAGACUGUUUCAGCUGAAUUGGCUAAAUCGCUAUGAUGGGCUAGUGUACUCACCUUCACAAGAAGGAGCUUACUGCAUAUACUGUGCUCUGUUUGGGGUUGAUAGUUUGGGAACAUUAUCAUGCAAACCACUAACAGAUAUGGCACAUGCAAGUACAAGACUUAACGAUCAUUUCGGCCGUGAUGAGAAAUCAUGUAAAAAAAGUCAUACUGAAGCUAGAGCAAAAGCUC
This 347-nucleotide long non-coding RNA is filed under the name Mytilus galloprovincialis (Mediterranean mussel). The record is from RNAcentral. Lineage: Eukaryota; Metazoa; Mollusca; Bivalvia; Mytilida; Mytilidae.